This 651-nucleotide ribosomal RNA is filed under the name Nocardiopsis dassonvillei. Its description in RNAcentral is "bacterial SSU rRNA". It matches the Rfam family "Bacterial small subunit ribosomal RNA", at positions 84 to 736 of the family's 1533-position model. Lineage: Bacteria; Bacillati; Actinomycetota; Actinomycetes; Streptosporangiales; Nocardiopsidaceae. The record is from RNAcentral.
GGGGUACACGAGCGGCGAACGGGUGAGUAACACGUGAGCAACCUGCCCCUGACUCUGGGAUAAGCGGUGGAAACGCCGUCUAAUACCGGAUACGACCCGCCACCUCAUGGUGGAGGGUGGAAAGUUUUUCGGUCAGGGAUGGGCUCGCGGCCUAUCAGCUUGUUGGUGGGGUAACGGCCUACCAAGGCGAUUACGGGUAGCCGGCCUGAGAGGGCGACCGGCCACACUGGGACUGAGACACGGCCCAGACUCCUGCGGGAGGCAGCAGUGGGGAAUAUUGCGCAAUGGGCGAAAGCCUGACGCAGCGACGCCGCGUGGGGGAUGACGGCCUUCGGGUUGUAAACCUCUUUUACCACCAACGCAGGCUUCCAGUUCUCUGGAGGUUGACGGUAGGUGGGGAAUAAGGACCGGCUAACUACGUGCCAGCAGCCGCGGUAAUACGUAGGGUCCGAGCGUUGUCCGGAAUUAUUGGGCGUAAAGAGCUCGUAGGCGGCGUGUCGCGUCUGCUGUGAAAGACCGGGGCUUAACUCCGGUUCUGCAGUGGAUACGGGCAUGCUAGAGGUAGGUAGGGGAGACUGGAAUUCCUGGUGUAGCGGUGAAAUGCGCAGAUAUCAGGAGGAACACCGGUGGCGAAGGCGGGUCUCUGGGCCU